AUUCUACUCCCUCCGUUGCACAAUACAUGCCUUCUAUUUGUCAAUAUAUAUGUAUCUAGACAUGUCUUAGUAUGUAGGUACGUCCAUUUUUGGACAAAUGGAAGUCAAGUAUUUUGGAACGGAGGGAGUACACA
Non-coding RNA from Triticum urartu, 134 nucleotides. The record is from Rfam. NCBI's taxonomy places the organism in Eukaryota, Viridiplantae, Streptophyta, Magnoliopsida, Poales, Poaceae.